CAAUAGCGUAUAUUUAAGUUGUUGCAGUUAAAAAGCUCGUAGUUGGAUUUCGGAUGGGAUUUGCCGGUCCGUCGUUACGAUGUGCACUGGCCAGUCCUAUCUUGUUGUCGGGGACUAGCUCCUUGGAUUCACUUCCUGGGACUAGGAGCUGACGAGGUUACUUUGAGUAAAUUAGAGUGUUCAAAGCAAGCCUACGCUCUGAAUACAUUAGCAUGGAAUAACACGAUAGGACUCUGGCUUAUCUUGUUGGUCUGUGAGACCAGAGUAAUGAUUAAGAGGGACAGUCGGGGACAUUCGUAUUUCAUUGUCAGAGGUGAAAUUCUUGGAUUUAUGAAAGACGAACUUCUGCGAAAGCAUUUGCCAAGGAUGUUUUCAUUG
RNAcentral lists this ribosomal RNA (378 nucleotides) under uncultured eukaryote. RNAcentral describes it as "partial 18S ribosomal RNA". It matches the Rfam family "Eukaryotic small subunit ribosomal RNA", at positions 592 to 975 of the family's 1831-position model. The record is from RNAcentral.